CAGAAAGCAAGAUGCAUUUUUAAAGUGUAUGGUAAUAACAAAAAAAGGAUAUGAACAAAAAAUAAAAAAUAUUUACAUUAUACAGCAUGCCAGUCCAUGGAUUACUUUAUCUACUUCGUAUUUGAUGUUUAACCAGUCAAUACGACUGUGAAGGAUUUCGUAAACCUCUUCGGUAUGAAAUGCGCUAGAAAAUCGAGAAGUAUCGGUAGCCAGUUUUCCAAUCUCUUCGGCGUUUUUUCCAUCAAUAAUAAAUAAAUGGGCAAUUUCCUUCAAUGUCUUAAAAUAUGGUAAAAGGCUGCUUUGAUGAAGAGAGUGAAUGAAUUCAUAAUACAAAUUACAAUCGCUAAAAUGAGUCAGUUUUAUAAUUCUUAAACAUAAGGAAUAAAAUCUCACCUGAGUAACUUUAGCCCGCCAUCGACACUGAAUUUAUGAGAUUUUAUGUAACGUGUUAAGGAAUCGAAAAGUCUCAUUCCGACUUCCUUAUAAAAAACAUCAAGGAUUUCAUGAUCGGCCCUUCCAACUAGAAUACGCAUGUGGAAACCUAAAAAUUGAACCACAUUUUUGGCAGCAGCUGUAGGCUCUAUAGUAUUCGUUAUGGAACCUAUAGUUUGGUCACUAAAUAAAUUCAUUGGUGUUUUAGUUUCCAGCAAAAAAUCGGCAUGCUCAAUUAGAACAUUAAUGCCUUUGUGUAAUCCGAAAGCUGCCCGUUCAUCCAAAAGCUGCUCGAAUUUUUUUUUUUCUGCAAUUGCAGGGUCAAACAUAUCAUCUUUCACACAUAUAGGACUCAUUUCUUCGUUAAAAAAGCUAUCCAUCAUCUGCUGAAUCAUAUCACCAACAUUGAUAAGCUCCAAAAAUUUCACCACUGGCUCUACAGUAUUACUAGAAAAGUCGCGUCGAGGAUCAAAAGAAGAGAGAUGCUCGAUUGCUCGAUCAAACCCAUGCUUUAAGUGGCCUUGACCUAACUCCCGCAGAAGCUGAACGAAUAAGUCCUUCGAAAGCCCUUUAAUAUCAUCAUCUUGAGGAACCGAGGUACCCAUAAAUACUUUAGCACGAGCUAAACUAACUUUGCAAAGAUGGACGAUUUUCAAAGCUAAUUCCAAACUAAACAUGGUGCUGAUACCUUCAAGUUUUGAGUCCAAUACAGCAGCUUGCGCGGCUAAUUCGGUAGUAGGGAGAUGUUUCAAUCGGUCCUUAGAAACAUAUAUAUUCGCAGGAACAAAUCGGGCAGCAUCCAACUUUGAAAGUUCUGGAUCUUCUUCUUCUUUCUGCUCUAUCGCUUUCUCAGCCAAAUUAGAUGCACUAUUGUUUUCUGACGGUAUUGUAAAAAGAGAGACUGGAAGCAGCAUUACGUUUUUAAAGGUUUCCAAAAAAUUAUUUUUGGCAGUAUUCUGGCUGACAUUUUUGUAAAAAAAGCAUUCUGUAGCGUCUUCUUUUUCUUCCAGCUUUUGGUCCCACUGAUCAACCAGCGACCAGCCAACAGUUUUAAAGUAAUGUAACUCCUGAGAAAUGAAAAUAUCAAUUUGCGGUUGAAAAAUUGUAUCCACUAAAGCCGGUCCAUUAGGAAUCGAAAAAAACUUCUUGCAUAGGCCAUAAAAUCCAGAAAUAAAAACAAGGAACAAUUCGGUCUCUUCUUCACCAAUAUGCUCGCAUAUUGAUAUUACAUAGUCUUUUAGUGAAUUUCCAAGAAUGUCUUUAGCAUAAGGAACCUGGACAAGCUCAGGCUCAGGUAAAGUAGCUUCAGAGAAUUUGGAUUCCGACUCUAAAAGCUUGAUAGUGUCGUUAACAACAGACUCCAAGAUGUUCCAAUUAAUGUGAAUUUCUUCUAGAUUAUUGGAAAUAAACAAACUAUACGGAUCAAAAUGGAAGAAAGACCUAACAAAAUCAGUUUGCUUUGCUAGAUACAUGCUCACGUAUGCAUUUGGACCACUAAAAUCAUGAAGAACAUGAGAAAACUUACGAAGAAGAUCAAGAUUACGAGAAUGAAGACCUAAUUCAAAUUCAUCAAGACAAGCUUGCUCAAAUAAUGAAGCCAUGUCAAGAAUGGCAUUUUGCAUCGCCUGUCGAUAAGUUCCAUAGGGAUAAGAAUUUCCAAACCUAAUUAAAUACUUCAGAACUUUCGAUUGCUCCUCUGGCGUCCGAAAAGCAGAAAAUGCAAUAGGGUCAAUAGUAUUGCUAGCAUAAGCCAGAUUUCGGUAGAUAGGAGCCAAUGCUCUCCAAACCUUUAUGUAAUCCAAUCUUGCAAAUUCAACUCUUUGACUCACACAAUCCAAAACUGUCAAAACUACUUGCUUCCCUUGCACUGUUGAGUAAUCAACAGGAAAAGGGAUCUUUUGGUCGGGUAAGGAAAGAAGUGACGAGGAGGACAGCUUAGGCCGAUCAGAGUCAGCAUACUUUUUAUCACUACU
Schizosaccharomyces pombe (fission yeast) is the source of this 2405-nucleotide non-coding RNA. NCBI's taxonomy places the organism in Eukaryota, Fungi, Ascomycota, Schizosaccharomycetes, Schizosaccharomycetales, Schizosaccharomycetaceae. The record is from the annotation of a GenBank genome assembly.